This 274-nucleotide long non-coding RNA is filed under the name Equus asinus (donkey). RNAcentral describes it as "lncRNA (ENSEASG00005034915.1)". Lineage: Eukaryota; Metazoa; Chordata; Mammalia; Perissodactyla; Equidae. The record is from RNAcentral.
CUAGACACAGAGUGGCUGAAAAGCAGGAAAUAGAACUGCCAAACCAGCUUAUGAAGAUUUCUAUUAAUACAGAAAUUAAUAGAAAUACAGAUGCAUUCUUAUGAAGACUAUUCCAGGGAAAUCACAACGUGUCUCAAUGCUCAUUGUGGUCACCAUAAUUGAUAAGGGAUACACAAACCACUGUGUCCAAAGGCUUAAAGGGGACGCAGACCUUCCGCACAACAACAACAAAACCAGCGCGCUCGCGGCCGGCGCCUCGGCUCUGGUCCCCGCC